This 460-nucleotide ribosomal RNA is filed under the name uncultured bacterium. RNAcentral's name for it is "partial 16S ribosomal RNA". It matches the Rfam family "Bacterial small subunit ribosomal RNA", at positions 338 to 795 of the family's 1533-position model. The record is from RNAcentral.
CCUACGGGAGGCAGCCGUGGGGAAUAUUGGGCAAUGGGCGCUAGCCUGAACCAGCAAAGCCGCGUGAAGGAAGACUGCCCUCGGGUUGUUAAAUUCCUUUUAUAUGGGAAUAGAGUGCAGUAUGUAUACUGAUUUGACUGUACCUUAUGAAUAAUGAGCGGCUAACGCCGUGCCAUCAGCCGCGGUAAUGCGGAUGGUCCGAGCGUUAUCAGGAGUGAUUGGGUUGAAAGGGAGCGUAGGCGGGUGGUUAAGUCAGUUGUGAAAGCUUGCGGCUCAACAGUAAAAGUGCAGGUGAUACUGGUAGCCUUGAGUACAGUAGAGGUGGGCGGAAGUCGUGGUGUAGCGGUGAAAUGCGUAGAUAUCACGAAGAACACCGGUGGCGAAGGCAGCCUGCUGGACGGUAACUGACGCUGAGGCGCGAAAGCGUGGGGAGCAAACAGGAUUAGAUACCCCAGUAGUC